GACGAACGCUGGCGGCGUGCUUAACACAUGCAAGUCGAACGGUGAAGGGACCGGUUUUUGCUGGUUCUGGAUGAGUGGCGAACGGGUGAGUAACACGUGAGUAACCUGCCCCCUUCUUCUGGAUAACCGCAUGAAAGUGUGGCUAAUACGGGAUAUUCUGCGCCUGCUGCAUGGUGGGUGUGUGAAAGAUAUUGUUUCGGUGGGGGAUGGGCUCGCGGCCUAUCAGCUUGUUGGUGGGGUGAUGGCCUACCAAGGCGGUGACGGGUAGCCGGCCUGAGAGGGUGGACGGUCACACUGGGACUGAGACACGGCCCAGACUCCUACGGGAGGCAGCGGUGGGGAAUAUUGCACAAUGGGCGCAAGCCUGAUGCAGCGACGCCGCGUGGGGGAUGGAGGCCUUCGGGUUGUAAACCUCUUUCGCCAGUGAAGCAGGCCUGUCCCUUUUGUGGGUGGGUUGACGGUAGCUGGAUAAGAAGCGCCGGCUAACUACGUG
Molecule: ribosomal RNA, 493 nt
Filed under: uncultured bacterium
Lineage: Bacteria
Description: partial 16S ribosomal RNA
Rfam family: Bacterial small subunit ribosomal RNA
Source: RNAcentral